Molecule: long non-coding RNA, 1074 nt
Filed under: Canis lupus familiaris (dog)
Lineage: Eukaryota; Metazoa; Chordata; Mammalia; Carnivora; Canidae
Description: lncRNA (ENSCAFG00040007088.1)
Source: RNAcentral
AUGGCCUCGGCCGCCCGCGCUCGCGCCCCCCGCCCCCGCCGCAGCCGCCGGCCCUCCGCCGCCCCCCCGCUGCCGUCGCGCUGUCUCUCCGCGCCGCUCCCCGCCCCGCGCUCCGCUCCCCGCCCCGCGCUCCGCUCCCCGCUCCCCGCUCCCCGCUCCCCGCCCCGGCCCCGGGAAGCCCUCGGCCGGCCGGCCGGCCCGGGACCCGCCGCCGCCCGCCGGGCUGCCCCCGGGGUCUCCGUGCGUCUGUCCGUCCGCCCCUCGGUCCCCGAGCCCGCCUCCCGUGUCUCCCGGCGGGGGCUCGGUCUGCUGCCCGCCGCCCUCCCAGAGCCUCCCCUGCCUCCCUCCGCCUCUGCCCUGUCUCGGUCUCCCCUGCGCGUCUCUCUCUGUCCUCCUCCCGGGCGCCGUCUGUCCUUCUGCGUGUCUCUCCCUCCCUCCCACUCUCGGUGCGGCCCCCGCUGUCUCGGACCCAGGCCCGCGCCUCCGCCGCGUCCCCGGCUCGCCCGGGAGCCCGAGCUCCCGCCGCCCGCGGCGCGCCGAGAACUCCCAACUCGCGGCACGCCGCCCCGCUUUGCGAGACUUUCGCCCCUCCUCACACGUGACCCGCGCCCCAGUGCGGAGGCCGCGCGCCCCCCCCCCCGGCCCCCGAGCCCCGGGCCCCGGGCGGCCCGCGGGGCCCGGCCCGGCUCCUUCCCCGCGGCGCAGCGGGGCUUCAAACCCCCUGGGCCCGCCGGCCGCGCGGGGCAGGGCUGGGGGCCGAGGGGCCGUGGGGCCCCGCUCCUGCCGCGGAUCCUGCCCGGGUUUUCCUCCUCCCUCCGGGAGCGCUCCUCCCAGAACCCAUUCCGAGAAUCCGCUCCGGGUUUUGCAACCCCCGGGGGCAGGUCGGUAGGGUUCCUCCGGGCCGGGAAGGGGGUGCGUGGGAGAGGGUCUGUACUGGGUUCGGAGGCUCCGGGCCACUUUGCUCCGCGGUCCCCUUCCCCUCCUGCAGUACCGGCACUUAAUGACCCCACGUACUGUGCUCCGGGAGCCGGGGGCUGGCGUGCAUGGCUGCAGGGGACCCUCACAGUCACCUAG